GAGUUUGAUCAUGGCUCAGAUUGAACGCUGGCGGCAUGCCUUACACAUGCAAGUCGAACGGCAGCAUGAUCUAGCUUGCUAGAUUGAUGGCGAGUGGCGAACGGGUGAGUAAUACAUCGGAACGUGCCCUGUAGUGGGGAGUAACUAGUCGAAAGAUUAGCUAAUACCGCAUACGACCUGAGGGUGAAAGUGGGGGACCGCAAGGCCUCAUGCUAUAGGAGCGGCCGAUGUCUGAUUAGCUAGUUGGUGGGGUAAAGGCCCACCAAGGCGACGAUCAGUAGCUGGUCUGAGAGGACGAUCAGCCACACUGGGACUGAGACACGGCCCAGACUCCUACGGGAGGCAGCAGUGGGGAAUUUUGGACAGUGGGCGAAAGCCUGAUCCAGCAAUGCCGCGUGUGUGAAGAAGGCCUGGUUGUAAG
This 421-nucleotide ribosomal RNA is filed under the name uncultured microorganism. RNAcentral describes it as "bacterial SSU rRNA". It matches the Rfam family "Bacterial small subunit ribosomal RNA", at positions 9 to 429 of the family's 1533-position model. The record is from RNAcentral.